AUCAAAAGCUUUAAGGAAAGCUCUUUGUUUUUUGAAAGGGUGCUUUUAUGAGAUAGAGAUUUUUUAGAUAAUGCUUUUUUAGAUAAUGCUGGGGAAGGUUUUCCGGUUUAUCUCGGAGGGCUUGUAGCUCAGUUGGUUAGAGCGCGCGCUUGAUAAGCGUGAGGUCGGAGGUUCAAGUCCUCCCAGGCCCACCAAUUUACCUAUCCUUUUGCCUUUAUCUGUUUAUUUGCCGAUUUAUCGGUCCAUUGAAUUUAAGUGUUGGUAGCAGUUUUAUAAUGAUGAGAAAUCAUGCUUAUAAAAGAACUCCUUAUAAAAGGCUUGUUUUUAAAAUGUGACGCUUAUCCAUUUCGCUUAGGCAAGAGAAACUUCAAGCGGUUCAAAUACAAAAGGCUUUAAGUUUUGCAAAACACUUUGAAUUUUGCAAAACACUUUGAAUUUUGCAAAACACUUUGAAUUUUAAAGUGAUCCAAGUUCGUGAUCUCGAAUUUAAAAGUUUCGAAUGCUUUAUCCUUUUUUGGGGGCCGUAGCUCAG
This 532-nucleotide unclassified non-coding RNA is filed under the name uncultured Bartonella sp. RNAcentral's name for it is "partial 16S-23S ribosomal RNA intergenic spacer". The stretch from base 118 to 191 matches the Rfam family "tRNA". The record is from RNAcentral. Lineage: Bacteria; Pseudomonadati; Pseudomonadota; Alphaproteobacteria; Hyphomicrobiales; Bartonellaceae.